RNAcentral lists this transfer RNA (88 nucleotides) under Opitutales bacterium. RNAcentral's name for it is "tRNA-Ser". It matches the Rfam family "tRNA". Rfam says of the family: Transfer RNA (tRNA) molecules are approximately 80 nucleotides in length. Their secondary structure includes four short double-helical elements and three loops (D, anti-codon, and T loops). Further hydrogen bonds mediate the characteristic L-shaped molecular structure. tRNAs have two regions of fundamental functional importance: the anti-codon, which is responsible for specific mRNA codon recognition, and the 3' end, to which the tRNAs corresponding amino acid is attached (by aminoacyl-tRNA synthetases). tRNAs cope with the degeneracy of the genetic code in two manners: having more than one tRNA (with a specific anti-codon) for a particular amino acid; and 'wobble' base-pairing, i.e. permitting non-standard base-pairing at the 3rd anti-codon position. RNAcentral also lists the same sequence under 2 other names. The record is from RNAcentral. Lineage: Bacteria; Pseudomonadati; Verrucomicrobiota; Opitutia; Opitutales.
GGAGAGGUGGCAGAGUGGCCGAUCGUGCCUGACUCGAAAUCAGGUGUACCGCAAGGUACCGAGGGUUCGAAUCCCUCCCUCUCCGCCA